UCUGCCCCAAGCUCUGCAUUGCAGGUGUGGCUGCUGUGUCACUUGUGCAUCAGUAGGGGGCAGAGAGGAGAGAAGCUAUGUCUGUGCUCAGGAUUCUGACUUAUGAACACCUGAGUGAUUAGUGGCCUAACAUU
This is a small nucleolar RNA of Meriones unguiculatus (Mongolian gerbil), 134 nucleotides long. Lineage: Eukaryota; Metazoa; Chordata; Mammalia; Rodentia; Muridae. The record is from Ensembl.